AGCCAUGCAUGUUUAUGUAAUAAAGGACGAAUAGCUCAGUAAAACUGCGUUUAUUUAAUCUGUUUGAUAUGAUAACUACGUGAAAAUGUAGCUAAGGGAACAGAAUAAGACGUAGUACUAUCAGUUUGUUGGCAGUGUAAUGGACUACCAAGACUAUGACGGUUAACGGGGAAUCAGGGUUUGAUACCGGAGAGGGAGCCUGAGAGAUUGCUCCCACGUCCAAGGACGGCAGCAGGCGCGAAAAUUGCCCACUCUUGUAGGAGGCAGUUAUGAGACGUUGUUUUGUGUUUUGUAAAAAGAAACAAGAAAAUUGGAGGGCAAGUUUGGUGCCAGCAGCCGCGGUAAUACCGACUCCAAGAGUGUGUAUGAGAGAUGCUGCAAUUAAAAAGUCCGUAGUUUUUUAGAGGAGCCAAUGGGGAUUAUAGUAUACAAGGGCGAGAGAUGAAAUGUCAAGACCCCUUGUGGACUAAGCGAGGCGAAAGCGAUAAUCUUGUGGGUAUUCUUUGAUCAAGGACGAAGGGUGGAGGAUCGAAAGUGAUUAGAUACCGCUGUAGUUCCACCAGUAAAAUAUGCCGACAUGUUUUUUGGCAACAAGGAACAGGGAGAAAUCUUAGAGUUCGGGCUUUGGGGAUAGUAUGCUCGCAAGAGUGAAAAUUAAAGAAAUU
This 665-nucleotide ribosomal RNA is filed under the name Microsporidium sp. BCAL2. RNAcentral's name for it is "SSU rRNA". It matches the Rfam family "Microsporidia small subunit ribosomal RNA", at positions 46 to 788 of the family's 1311-position model. Lineage: Eukaryota; Fungi; Microsporidia. The record is from RNAcentral.